GGACACACCUGGCAAUGGAUGUGACAUUCAGCACUGCCCAGGUUUCUUUCACUUGGAGGAGGCAAACUGGUGAACAGAAGGAGGCAAUCCUCUGGCAGUGGGAUGCUAGGGAGCGAUAAUAAGGCAAGUUUUCUUGCUUGAAGGCAGCUGGUAUCUGUGGUUGGAAGCUGGCGGACAUCUCAUGAUGGACCUAACAGUAGCUUCUGGCACAAUGGGUCACUGUGACGAAAGCCAGAGCAAGUUCCGUUAGAAAUACUGAAAUACUAAAUCAGAUGGAUAGCAAUGCGUAACAGAAAAAAAGUAGAAAGUUGGUUUAAAAGUAUGUGAAAGAAAUAGAAGUGGAAAGAAAUUGCAAUUGAGUAGAUUGGAAGUCUAACACAAGGGUGGGGUGAGGGGUGAGGGAUGGUGGUGGGAAAAGGAAAUAUGUGUGGGAUUGAGUGUGGUUAUGUAUGAAUAUUUUUAAGGACUGUAUGAAAUGUAUGUUUGUAUAUUCGUAAUAUGUAUGUAUUAAUGUUGAAUUAUUUUAAUAAAAUAAAUAUAUUAAUUUUUUUUAAAAAGGAAACGCCAGUUACCUCCCCUUUGCAGUGGUACCUAUUUAUCUACUUACACUGGUGUGCUUUCAAACUACUAGGUUGGUAGGAGCUGGGACAGAGCAACAGGAGCUCACCCCUUUGUGGGGAUUCGAACCACCAACCUUCUGAUUGGGAAGCCCAAAAGGCUCUGUGGUUUAGACCACAGCACCACCUGCUUCCUGAAUAAACAAGCACACAAUCACUGAUAGGUCCACCAGCCAUUGUGAGGAUCAAAGCAAUGAAGAUGAUGCCUCUCCAGCUGUUACCAUUGGCUGUGGGUUUCUUGUGAUGUCACAAAAGCCCUUGGCAACUGAGGGGAUAUAAAGGCAGGCCAAGGGGAAAGCCCUUUUUUGUUUCCAGCAACACAUACCUGGCAAUGUGUUUGGAGUAGCAUCAUGCUGACAGGUUUCUACCCAGACCCAUAUCUGCAGAGUGCAUAUACAUGUUUAAAUACAAAUGCAUAGCACAGGGAGCCAUUACCAUGGUACUUCACCCCAACACCCCUAUCAAAUAUUCACCAGGAGCCAGGGGCGUAGGAAGGGGGGUGGGGGGGUGGGUCACCCCAGGUUCCAUCAUGAAGGGUGUGUGUGACAAAUUAUCAAGGAACAAUUACUGCCCUACUAGGGCGGUUCAUAAAGGACUUUUUUUUGAAAAUGCCUGCUCCAAAGGUCUUAUCUCACCACACUAGGGAUUAUAUAGCUAUAUUUGAAAUUUCAUGCAUAUCAGUUAAUAUCUUGACCCACCUCCACAAAAAUAGCUGUUUACUUGGCCAUUUUCCUAUGUCGUGCAGGCUGAAAUUUCAAUUCAGUGGAGCACUUACUGUUCCCAACCCUAACCCUGCAGAAAGCCAUCUAAUUAGAUAUUAAUUUGAUUUUGACAUGUUUUUAGGAGGUAAUUUAAUUAUUGUUUGAUUUUAUGUUAUGUAUCUGAUGUUAGCUGCCCUGAGCCCGACUUCAGCUGGGGAGGGUGGGAUAUAAAUAAAAGUUUAUUAAUUAUUAUUAUUAUUAUUAUUAAUUCCUUUGUAAGAAAAUAUGAAAUAAUGUAAAACCAUUACAAACCAAGCUCAUAUUGGACGCCACUUCAGAAACCAAAGUCAAGGUUUAAAUAUGUCUCGUAAUGACUGAAAAAUUUAGCUGAAUGGGCCCCAUUUGUUUCAGUUUUACUUUGACACAAAAUAGAUGCCACAAAAAAGAACAGGUAUAAAAUGCUGUUUAAAAACAAGCACAUAACCUUCCUCAACUGCAUCCUAUUUAAGAGUAAGACAGAAAAUCUUAAAAUUUGUCUAUCCCCAGGGAUGAAUUGUCCUACACAGCUGGGGGAAUAUGCAGCCCAGUUUGACUCUUGAACAAAACUAUGGGAACAUAGUAUGUAUGAUUUGCCAUACAUAUAAACUAGAAUUUUAUUUAGCUAGUUUUUGACUUCCCUGAAAAGGCAUUUUCUACAGCGUUUUGUCUUUUGUCUGCUUAUUCUGCAUAGCAAUUAGUGUGUGAUACAUCCCGUGUUCACUUCACAGAUUACUCCAAAAGAUGAAUUGCCUCCCCUUUAAUUGUGUCCCUGACUGUUUCCUACUGUUUAUGGUAUCCCAGACUUCUGUACAAAACAAGCAUUCUGCUCCUAAUUUCUCUAUGACAGAUUAUGCAGAGGAUGUUUAGCACUGACAAUUACCUCCUGGGAUUAACCAGUCCUGCCCUCAAACUCUUUGUUUUUCGGGUAGAUCAUAAGAAUAAAUAACAAAUAACAAUGAAACAAAGUUUGUGCAAGACAGAAAUAUAAACCCCAGCUGGAAACCAUUAGUUUUAUGGCAUAUGUUAUUUUUGUUUAGCAAUUGAAGCAAAAAACCUCAAUCUUUUCUUUUCUUUUAAAUAGUGAUAGCAGGCUGUAAUAUACUUUCUUAUUCCUACCUGCCUACUACCAACUGAAGGGAAAUAUUUGCAAAUGCUUGUUUAUCUCUAUAUGUUUCUUGACUAAGGCUGAUGGCAUAACUAGUGUAUUAGAAGACAUCUGAAGGCAGCCCUGUUUAGGGAAGUUUUUAAUCUUUGAAGUUUUGUUCUGUUUUUGGUCCUCUGUUGCGAGCUGCCCAGAGUGACUGGGGAGGCCCAGUCAGAUGGGCGGGGUAUAAGUAAUAAAUUUAUUAUUAUUAUUAUUAUUAUUAUUAUUAUUAUUAUUAUUAUGCAGUACAGUUUAUCUAAGGUCUAACAUUGCUUCUAUACAUUUCUUUCUCUUUUUUGCUGUCAUUUUUGGCACUACAGGUGAGAACAUGUAUUCUGUAUAUAUGUGCAAUAGUUGCUGAUGUAAAAUGGCUUAAAGUUACUAUCUGCACCUUAGUCUAGCAGGCUCUGAAGUUCAGGGAAGUUUUUAAUGUGUGUCAUUUUAAUGUAUUUUCAAUCUUUGUUGGAAGCCCGCCAGGGUGGUUGGGGAAGCCCAGCCAGAUGGGCGGGGUACAAAUAAUAAUAAUAAUAAUAAUAAUAAUAAUAAUAAUAAUAAUAAUAAUAAUAAAUUAUUAUUAUUAUUGUUAUUAUUAUUAUUAUUAUUCAGAUGAGGUCAUUUCUUACUGUAAUUCACAAGGAUUGGAUUCCUCAAGCACCACUGAUGAUCACCAACAAACUUUAACAAGAGAGCAAAUAAUAAAGAAGUCAGCAUAAAAAUGGCAGAGAACCAGGCAGAGGGCCUUGUCAGUAGUGGUGCCUGCCCUCUGGAGCGCCCUCCCAUCAGAUGUCAAGGAAAUAAACAACUAUCUGACUUUUAGAAGACAUCUGAAGGCAGCCCUGUAUUGGGAAGUUUUUAAUGUCUAAUGUUUUACAAAUUUUUAUGUGCUGUAAGCCACCCAGAGUACCUGGGGAAACCCAUUCAGAUGGGCGGGGUAUAAAGAAUAUUAUUAUUAUUAUUAUUAUUAUUAUUAUUAUUAUUGAAAAAUAUAUGUGGAGCAAGAUGUGAAAUGGCCAAUGUGUUUCAGUGGAAGCCUACAAAAUAGGCACAAUGAUGCCUAUUUUUAGAAGGCAACAUCUCAGAAUUUAAAAAGGCCUUCACAUAUUCCAACUUUGGUCUGUAUGAGCCCUUUAAUUCUGCUAUAUGGAUAUCAAUUAUUUUAUACACUUAGUGUUGGGGUAAUGUGGUAGAUAGAAGACAAAUGUUAAGAGAUGGCGGACAUUGUAUGGAAUCCUGUCUAAGCUUUGUAGUUCAUUAUGCAGUCGUCAACAAGUCUUUUCCUCAUCUCUCACUUCAAAGAAUCACUGAGAGAAGAAGUCCGCUAUUGAUGGCAAAGCACUUUGAACACUGAGCAACACAACAAAAGGGCAUAAACAACAUGAAAAGAAGAAUCACCUUCCCUAAUAAGGUCUUUAUGUUUUCCCUUUAGUGACCUUAUUAGCCAAGUAGAAGAAGAACGAUCAGAAAAAAUGAGAAGCAAAAGAAAUGCUUUCGUGUCAAUUUGUGAAACAGGC
This 4012-nucleotide long non-coding RNA is filed under the name Podarcis lilfordi (Lilford's wall lizard). The record is from RNAcentral. Lineage: Eukaryota; Metazoa; Chordata; Lepidosauria; Squamata; Lacertidae.